ACUAAGCAUCAUCUCAACUAUUCUCUAAUUCAAAAUUUUAUAAUCUCUAACAUUGACUUCUCUCUCCUCUAGCUACAAAUUUCCGAAUGGUGUGGGGAGAAUUAAUUCCUUGUAGCUAUUCUAAUCCUUUUCCAAUUGAUCUGUUAGUUUUAGCUUAGAUCUUGCCUUAACUUAGCCCUCUCUCUUCUCCUUCCUUUGUUAUUUUAAUCACAUUCUCUUAAAUCUAGAUCUCCCCAAUCCAAGGAGCAACCCCAUUUGGUAUUAAAAAAGGUUUUAAGCAAAGAGAAGUCCAAGAUAGGGGAGAUCCCAAUGGAUAUCCUCUAAAGAGAAGGAAACAAACCAGAUCAUGUUGAUCUAUCAUUAGAGAAGCUCCCUACUUUUCUUCUUGUAUUUUCUUUACUUUCUUGUGAUCUCAAGCAAUUCAUAUCAUAUAAUUGACUUGAAUUGAUUGAAAUUUCUUGCUCCUUGAUAAUGAAAAUACUUUUUCUUUUCUUGCCUACUCUAACUCAAUUCUUAAAUGCUAGUUGAGUAGCUUGUAGAUUUUUACAUUCCUUUUGCUUUUUAGCAUUUAAGUAGGUAGAUAGGAUCCAAUAUCCCUUGAUUUUACUUCUUACAAAUCCUUGUACCAUCUAAGUCCUAAUUGUAUCAUUGGUGUGCUUAAGGGCUAAAUUCUGGGUGUCUAAUCUCCUAGACAUUAUGUGCUUACUCAGUAGAUGUAUGGUACAUAUUCCUAGGCCCUUCCAUAUAAGAAAGAUGGGCCUAGGCCAUUGUGUCUAGGGCUAGUGGGUGCCUCACAUUAAACCUUUACCUU
RNAcentral lists this long non-coding RNA (811 nucleotides) under Phoenix dactylifera (date palm). RNAcentral describes it as "long non-coding RNA (PDAC_LNC001520)". Lineage: Eukaryota; Viridiplantae; Streptophyta; Magnoliopsida; Arecales; Arecaceae. The record is from RNAcentral.